Non-coding RNA from Felis catus (domestic cat), 85 nucleotides. Lineage: Eukaryota; Metazoa; Chordata; Mammalia; Carnivora; Felidae. The record is from Rfam.
GCCUGGGUGGCUCAGUCGGUUAAGCGUCCGACUUCAGCUCAGGUCAUGAUCUCAUGGUUUGUGGGUUCAAGCCCCACGUCAAGCU